GGGCGUGUGGUGUAGUGGUAACAUUCCAAGUCGACGAAAAAAGUCAUUUGGAGGAGUUAGUGGUUCGAUCCCACUCUUGCUCA
Massariosphaeria phaeospora is the source of this 83-nucleotide non-coding RNA. The record is from the annotation of a GenBank genome assembly. Lineage: Eukaryota; Fungi; Ascomycota; Dothideomycetes; Pleosporales.